AACAAUGGUUUACGAUUGAUUGAACAAUAGUUUACUGUUUAUUGAUUGAACAAUGGUUUACUGUUGAUUGAUUGAACAAUGGUUUACUGUUGAUUGAUUGAACAAUGGUUUACUGUUGAUUGAACAAUGGUUUACUGUUGAUUGAACAAUGGUUUACUGUUGAUUGAACAAUGGUUUACUGUUGAUUGAACAAUGGUUUACUGUUGAUUGAACAAUGGUUUACUGUUGAUUGAACAAUGGUUUACUGUUGAUUGAACAAUGGUUUACUGUUGAUUGAACAAUGGUUUACUGUUGAUGGAACAAUGGUUUACUGUUGAUUGAACAAUGGUUUACUGUUGAUGGAACAAUGGUUUACUGUUGAUUGAUUGAACAAUGGUUUACGAUUGAUUGAACAAUAGUUUACUGUUUAUUGAUUGAACAAUGGUUUACUGUUGAUUGAUUGAACAAUGGUUUACUGUUGAUUGAUUGAACAAUGGUUUACUGUUGAUUGAUUGAACAAUGGUUUACUGUUGAUGGGACUGCAACACCACAGUGCAGCAGCUUUGGGAGAAUAUGCACGUCCCACAUGUUACCCUUUUGCCUAUAUAGUGCACUACUUUAGACCAGACCCUAACACCCUAUUCCCUAUAUAGUGCACUACUUUAGACCAGAGCCCUAACACCCUAUUCCCUAUACAGUGCACUACUUUAGACCAGGGCCCUAUAGAACCCUAUUCCCUAUACAGUGCACUACUUUAGACCAGGCCCCUAUAGAACCCUAUUCCCUAUACAGUGCACUACUUUUGUGCCAUUUGGGAUACAGGCCAUAUCAUGUGCUGGCUGUCGGGUGAGUUGGUUUGUGUUGGAGGCUGUUGAGGCUAAAGGUUGUGGAGGCUGUUGAGGCUGGGGGCCAGCCUGGACCUGAUUGUGUGUGUUGUAUAUCCUGUAGUCUGUUCAUUGUCUUACGUCAGAGAGCACACCGAUUCCACCUGCAACCAUCGGAUGAGGGACGAGCCUCGCGUAGAAGUGACGCCACCUGACGUAAGACAAUGGUACAACUCUGACGCAGCUGACCAUAGGUCAGGGCCCGGUUAGUUACGGUGAGGCAGAGCAGACCAUAGGUCAGAGCCCGGUUAGUUACAGUAACUCAGAGCAGACCAUAGGUCAGGACCCGGUUAGUUACUGUAACUCAGAGCAGACCAUAGGUCAGGACCCGGUUAGUUACAGUAACUCAGAGCAGACCAUAGGUCAGGACCCGGUUAGUUAUGGUAAGGCAGAGCAGACCAUAGGUCAGGAUCCGGUUAGUUACGGUAACUCAGAGCAGACCAUAGGUCAGGAUCCGGUUAGUUACGGUAACUCAGAGCAGACCAUAGGUCAGGACCCGGUUAGUUACGGUAACUCAGAGCAGACCAUAGGUCAGGAACCGGUUAGUUACGGUAACUCAGAGCAGACCAUAGGUCAGAGCCCGGUUAGUUACAGUAACUCAGAGCAGACCAUAGGUCAGAGCCCGGUUAGUUACGGUAACUCAGAGCAGACCAUAGGUCAGUACCCGGUUAGUUACGGUAACUCAGAGCAGACCAUAGGUCAGGACCCGGUUACUUACGGUAACUCAGAGAUGGCUCUCCAUUCACACUGUAUAGAGAUCUAGCAUGUCUGUCCUAAACAAUCAAUAAAGAUGUCUUACUAUCAAAACCA
Oncorhynchus tshawytscha (Chinook salmon) is the source of this 1673-nucleotide long non-coding RNA. Lineage: Eukaryota; Metazoa; Chordata; Actinopteri; Salmoniformes; Salmonidae. The record is from Ensembl.